This 465-nucleotide ribosomal RNA is filed under the name uncultured bacterium. RNAcentral's name for it is "partial 16S ribosomal RNA". It matches the Rfam family "Bacterial small subunit ribosomal RNA", at positions 28 to 507 of the family's 1533-position model. The record is from RNAcentral.
GAUGAACGCUGGCGGCGUGCUUAACACAUGCAAGUCGAACGGAAAGGCCCAAGCUUGCUUGGGUACUCGAGUGGCGAACGGGUGAGUAACACGUGGGUGAUCUGCCCUGCACUUCGGGAUAAGCCUGGGAAACUGGGUCUAAUACCGGAUAGGACCACAUUUUGGAUGGUGUGGUGGAAAGUUUUUCGGUGUGGGAUGAGCUCGCGGCCUAUCAGCUUGUUGGUGGGGUAAUGGCCUACCAAGGCGUCGACGGGUAGCCGGCCUGAGAGGGUGUACGGCCACAUUGGGACUGAGAUACGGCCCAGACUCCUACGGGAGGCAGCAGUGGGGAAUAUUGCACAAUGGGCGCAAGCCUGAUGCAGCGACGCCGCGUGGGGAUGACGGCCUUCGGGUUGUAAACUCCUUUCGCUAGGGACGAAGCGUUAUGUGACGGUACCUGGAGAAGAAGCACCGGCUAACUACGUG